UGAACGACCUACUUCAGUGCCCCCCCUAAUUUGGUCCCAACCCGUGGGGGCGCGCCUUUAGGAGCGUCCAUGUAGAGCGCCUGUAACUGAAAUCUCCUUCUGCUUUUCCUGCAGCGAACGCCAAGCGUGGAAAUGCAGAUGGCUGGAAGGAGACCUGAAAACACUGAGACGUUUCAGGAGUCUGAGCAUGCCACGCAGUCCUCCCCCACAUGGAAAAAUGGAUCUGGAGCUCAAUGCUCCAGUUUCAGCCCCCCACAGGACCGGCCCGAACAACAGAGGACAACACCCCCACAGCUGGGAGUCAAUGCAACACAAAGAUCAGCUCCGUUCAGGCACUGCUGACUGGAGAGUUGUGACAGAAACCCAGGAGGAAGACGAUGGAACAAGGAAGUGCAGACGGUUCUAAACUGGCUUGUUAGAGCCGUCUGUCAUGAGAAGAUUCAGACCCAGAACAGAACGAUGACGAUGCUCCUCCUAGCAGAGACAGAAUCCCAACUUCCUUCUAAAAAUAUGUCUGGUCUCCACAACAAACGUGUCAUGACCGCCAUCGUUUUCAUUUUCUCUGCUUCGAUUUGUUUUCAUUUUCUUUGCCUCGAUUCGGACCAGACGCAUCUACAUGUACACCCCUUCACUUCCUGUUUGAAGCUCAAAAGAUGAGGUACUUGGAUCCAGGUCAGUUCACCAGGUGACCACUAGGUGGUUCAUCACAGACAUCGGUUGGUGUAAGGAAUAAACUCAGUCUGGUUCCAAAAAA
This is a non-coding RNA of Oryzias latipes (Japanese medaka), 754 nucleotides long. Lineage: Eukaryota; Metazoa; Chordata; Actinopteri; Beloniformes; Adrianichthyidae. The record is from RefSeq and is a predicted model, not a curated record.